This 77-nucleotide transfer RNA is filed under the name Rickettsiales bacterium. RNAcentral describes it as "tRNA-Asp". It matches the Rfam family "tRNA". From Rfam's summary of the family: Transfer RNA (tRNA) molecules are approximately 80 nucleotides in length. Their secondary structure includes four short double-helical elements and three loops (D, anti-codon, and T loops). Lineage: Bacteria; Pseudomonadati; Pseudomonadota; Alphaproteobacteria; Rickettsiales. The record is from RNAcentral.
GCGGAUGUAGCUCAGUUGGUUAGAGCGCUUGCCUGUCACGCAAGAGGUCGCGGGUUCAAGUCCCGUCAUUCGCGCCA